AGUGAACGCUGGCGGUAGGCCUAACACAUGCAAGUCGAACGGCAGCACAGUAAGAGCUUGCUCUUACGGGUGGCGAGUGGCGGACGGGUGAGGAAUACAUCGGAAUCUACUUUUUCGUGGGGGCUAACGUAGGGAAACUUACGCUAAUACCGCAUACGACCUACGGGUGAAAGCAGGGGAUCUUCGGACCUUGCGCGGUUGAAUGAGCCGAUGUCGGAUUAGCUAGUUGGCGGGGUAAAGGCCCACCAAGGCGACGAUCCGUAGCUGGUCUGAGAGGAUGAUCCGCCAGACUGGAAGUGAGACACGGUCCAGACUCCUACGGGAGGAAGCAGUGGGGAAUAUUGGACAAUGGGCGCAAGCCUGAUCCAGCCAUACCGCGUGGGUGCAGAAGGCCUUCGGGUUGUAAAGCCCUUUUGUUGGGAAAGAAAAGCAGCAGGUUAAUACCCCGCUGUUCUGACGGUACCCAAAGAAUAAGCACCGGCUAACUUCGUG
This 492-nucleotide ribosomal RNA is filed under the name uncultured bacterium. RNAcentral describes it as "partial 16S ribosomal RNA". It matches the Rfam family "Bacterial small subunit ribosomal RNA", at positions 29 to 507 of the family's 1533-position model. The record is from RNAcentral.